This 662-nucleotide ribosomal RNA is filed under the name Inocybe sp. RNAcentral's name for it is "LSU rRNA". It matches the Rfam family "Eukaryotic large subunit ribosomal RNA", at positions 77 to 717 of the family's 3401-position model. The record is from RNAcentral. Lineage: Eukaryota; Fungi; Basidiomycota; Agaricomycetes; Agaricales; Inocybaceae.
CCCUUAGUAACUGCGAGUGAAGUGGGAAAAGCUCAAAUUUAAAAUCUGGCAGUCAUUUGGCUGUCCGAGUUGUAAUCUAGAGAAGUGUUGCCCGUGCUGGACCAUGUACAAGUCUCCUGGAAUGGAGCAUCACAGAGGGUGAGAAUCCUGUCUUUGACAUGGACUACCAGUGCUUUUGUGGUAUGCUCUCAAAGAGUCGAGUUGUUUGGGAAUGCAGCUCAAAAUGGGUGGUAAAUGCCAUCUAAAGCUAAAUAUUGGCGAGAGACCGAUAGUGAACAAGUACCGUGAGGGAAAGAUGAAAAGAACUUUGGAAAGAGAGUUAAACAGUACGUGAAAUUGCUGAAAGGGAAACGCUUGAAGUCAGUCACGUUGACUUGGAAUCAGCUCUGCUUUUGCUGGGUGUACUUUCUUGUCAAUGGGUCAGCAUCAAUUUUGACCAUUGGAUAAAGUUGUUGGGAAUGUAGCAUCUUUUUGGAUGUGUUAUAGCCUGGCAAUGCAUACGGUGGUUGGGAUUGAGGAAUUCAGCACGCCCCACCGGGGCCGGGUUUCGACCACGUUCGUGCUUAGGAUGCUGGCAUAAUGGCUUUAAUUGACCCGUCUUGAAACACGGACCAAGGAGUCUAACAUAUCUGCGAGUGUUUGGGUGGAAAACCCAUGUGCGU